RNAcentral lists this ribosomal RNA (405 nucleotides) under uncultured bacterium. Its description in RNAcentral is "bacterial SSU rRNA". It matches the Rfam family "Bacterial small subunit ribosomal RNA", at positions 355 to 776 of the family's 1533-position model. The record is from RNAcentral.
UAGGGAAUAUUGCACAAUGGGCGAAAGCCUGAUGCAGCAACGCCGCGUGCGCGAUGACGGCCUUCGGGUUGUAAAGCGCUUUUCGGGGAGAUGAGGAAGGACAGUAUCCCCGGAAUAAGGCUCGGCUAACUACGUGCCAGCAGCCGCGGUAACACGUAGGAGCCAAGCGUUAUCCGAAUUCACUGGGCGUAAAGCGCGUGUAGGCGGCUUGGUAAGUUGGAUGUGAAAGCUCCUGGCUCAACUGGGAGAGGACGUUCAAUACUGCCGGGCUAGAGGGCGACAGAGGGAGGUGGAAUUCCCGGUGUAGUGGUGAAAUGCGUAGAUAUCGGGAGGAACACCAGUGGCGAAAGCGGCCUCCUGGGUCGCACCUGACGCUCAGACGCGAAAGCUAGGGGAGCGAACGGG